CGCGUAGGCGGCUCAUAAAGGCUGUGGUGAAAGUUCGGGGCUCAACCUCGAAUCGGCCGUGGCGACUUGUGGGCUGGAGCACUGUAGAGGCAGGUGGAAUUCCGGGUGUAGCGGUGGAAUGCGUAGAUAUCGGGAGGAACACCAGUGGCGAAGGCGACUACCUGGCCUGUUCUUGACGCUGAGGCGCGAAAGCUAGGGAGCAAACG
RNAcentral lists this ribosomal RNA (206 nucleotides) under uncultured bacterium. RNAcentral's name for it is "partial 16S ribosomal RNA". It matches the Rfam family "Bacterial small subunit ribosomal RNA", at positions 568 to 774 of the family's 1533-position model. The record is from RNAcentral.